Molecule: non-coding RNA, 623 nt
Organism: Arachis ipaensis
Lineage: Eukaryota; Viridiplantae; Streptophyta; Magnoliopsida; Fabales; Fabaceae
Source: RefSeq, a predicted model, not a curated record
UGGUAUUUGAUCACAUAAUUCACAGUAUUAAGUUAACCAGAAGCAUAAGAAAAAAGCGAAGAACCAUGCUCUGAAAGUGUCUUGUUUUUAAUGCUAUAGGAAGAGAAUGAAGCAUGAGUUAAGAAAGUGCUUGUGACACUAUGUGAACUUCACAAAAGAAAAGAUUGGUUUGACGAGAGAACAACUAAUACAAUGUUCACUGUUUGUUUCCAUUCAGCACCAAGGAUCAUGAAAGCAUCUUUAUCGUCUCAAUAUGAACAAGACUAAGCAGCAAAGGUAGAAUUUGAUUUAGAGGCGAUGGGUAUAAUUCUCAAGUGUCAGAUCAUUAGUGAUUUGAUUUUCUAAUAUAACUAUAUAGUUUUAAGAUAAUUCUGUUAUGGUGAAGAGAUUUUAUGCAUCUCAAUAAUAAAAACUAAGCUUCAUUGAUAUAUGUGCAGGUUACUUGUGGUAAUAGCUGAGGUAAUCAAUGGAUACGUUGUCUUUUGCCUUCCCUUAUCUGUUUGCAUUGUUCGAUCAUAUGCUUUGGAACCAAGGCUUUCUACUUAUGAUCCUUGAUAUAGUAAUAUACUAACUAAAUUCUUUUUAAUCAUGAAUUUGCAGAUGUUGUGCUAGAUAUUUGCAUA